UCUAGGGCCAAAGCUUUUGGGUGCAGAGACUCCAAGGUUCCAAGAUAAACAAAUCUGUCGGUGAGAGUGACCAGAGUGUUAGGUCAGUCCAAGGGUCACUUAUAGGUCAUCCUGCUGGGAGCUUGGUCUCUGCUUUGUGUUUAUGCUGGGGAGAAAAGCAGGAGGGGCCAGAGGGUUGGGUCUCCGCUGGGAAAACAUCCCUGGCCUACUCAUCAGAGCCUCUGGAAGUGGAUUGGUAUCCCCUCUGCUCCCAGGAAUCCAGUAAAAGUUUGCAGAGGAUGCAGCAGGUGAGUCCUGUAGACAUCAGAGGGGCUUCGACGCUGCACAGCUGCCACUCAGAGGGGACACUGCUGGCCUCGAUCACAUCAUGGAGACCACAAGGAUGCUGGGAAUGCACUUCCCAUUGGCCGAGCUGAGGAUAUGAGCAGGCCAUGGUAGCAUCUCUUCCUCAAAGAUGAGCCAGCCGUCAUUUGAAGAGGAGGAAAGACUGGAUUGGGGAAGAAUCUGGGGCAAAAUGAAGCCAAAUUGAGAACGAGGAGGAAAGAAGAUGCUAAGGCCGCAGAUAAGCAGGUCUUGAGUGUUACAGCUCUUUUCGAAUUUGUCUAGCAUGCUUUCUGCUUUUUACUGGAAAGUGCCC
Pan troglodytes (chimpanzee) is the source of this 637-nucleotide long non-coding RNA. RefSeq lists it as uncharacterized. NCBI's taxonomy places the organism in Eukaryota, Metazoa, Chordata, Mammalia, Primates, Hominidae. The record is from RefSeq and is a predicted model, not a curated record. The transcript has 3 exons.